Zootoca vivipara (common lizard) is the source of this 1490-nucleotide non-coding RNA. The record is from RefSeq and is a predicted model, not a curated record. Lineage: Eukaryota; Metazoa; Chordata; Lepidosauria; Squamata; Lacertidae.
CUCUCCAAAGCUUGCUCUCCCCCCCAAACAAAGCCUUUACCCGCAGAAGCUGAGGACAAACACACCCCAGCGGGCCAGGUGGCUCCUCUCUGACUUAAUGAAGAGGAGCAAGAGGAAGGAAAAGGAGCUGGGAAACUGAAGGAUGCUGCAGAGCUGCCCUACUGGGUCACUCAAAAGUAUCUGGUCCUUUACCUGGCAGUCAUGGAGAAUGGCCAGUGUUCUUAGACCUCUGCUCUGCAGCGCGACUAGCUCCCUAUCAAAAAGCUUGGAUAGUCCCGUGAUAAGAGCCUAAGGCGCUACAAGCUUCAAUCCUUUGCAUCUCCAUGAAGGGGCUGGGAAAGACUACAGUUGAAGCCCAAAACAUCUGGAUGACACCACUUUGUGAAAGGCUGGGGCAAGAUCUGGGCCAAGAAGCGCAACCAUUUCCCCAAAACGGAGCAUGCCGGCCACUUAGCAUAAAAGCUGCUACUGACUGCUGGGUGUUUAUACUGAAUCACAGAGAAAAUAGAAUGUCCUUCAACAGCCCUCUGGUGGAAGAAGAGUGAAAUGGAGUGGGUAGAGAUUUUUCUGCCUUUUCAAAAAGCACUAAAACUAAGGAUCUGCCCCAGUGAGAUCGGCAGUACAGUGGUACCUCGAUUUAUGAACACAAUUGGUUCCGGUAGUCUGUUCAUAAACCGGAGCGUUCAUAAACUGAAGUGAUCUUUCCCAUUGAAAGUAAUGGAAAGUGGAUUAAUCCGUUCCAGACGGGUCCGCGGAGUACUUAAACUGAAGCGUUCAUAAACUGAAGCGAACUUUCCCAUUGAAAGUAAUGGAAAGUGAAUUAAUCCGUUCCAGAUGGGUCCGCGGAGUACUUAAACUGAAGCGUUCAUAAACUGAAGCGAACUUUCCCAUUGAAAGUAAUGGAAAGUGGAUUAAUCCGUUCCAGACGGGUCCGUGGAGUACUUAAACUGAAGCGUUCAUAAACUGAAGCGAACUUUCCCAUUGAAAGUAAUGGAAAGUGGAUUAAUCCGUUCCAGACGGGUCCGCGGAGUACUUAAACUGAAGCGUUCAUAAACUGAAGCGAACUUUCCCAUUGAAAGUAAUGGAAAGUGAAUUAAUCCGUUCCAGAUGGGUCUGCGGCGUUCGUAAACGGAAAAUUCGUAAACCGAGGUGUUCAUAAACCGAGGUUCCACUGUAGAUUCAGAGAAGAAAGGACUCAUUCACACAAAAAACGCUGGUGGGUUUUCAUGAGGAAUUCCUCCCCUCUACUUCAAAAUCACAAACUGAGGUGGAAAUGUGGAGCACUGAAAAUGAAAGAAUGAGAAACUGAGAAAAACUGAAAUGGAUAGAUUUCUAAAGCUUUCCCAAUCACCAGGUAAUUCUACUCACCUUGGCUUCUCUUGGCUUUUCUCCAGCUGGACAUACUUCACUUCACUUCUAAUUUCUGACUUGUAAUGAAUCCACAUCACCAGAGACAGAUUGAAGGGACUGUUAGAUUUUGCCUUCUCAUA